Long non-coding RNA from Rhipicephalus microplus (southern cattle tick), 323 nucleotides. The record is from RefSeq and is a predicted model, not a curated record. Lineage: Eukaryota; Metazoa; Arthropoda; Arachnida; Ixodida; Ixodidae.
UAUGCGUGGCUCUGUUUCAACAUACCUGAGAUUACUCUGAAGGAACAAUGAAGGCACUGCAAUUGGUAUUGCUUUUCAGCAUUAUGACGAUUGUUAUGGGCUCCAUCUGGGACCACAAGAAGUGCCUUUCAUUUUGCCGACCCAGAAGUGACAACGCUACCAACUGCGGCACUGGUUGCAAGUGCCAUCCUUUCCGCUAUAUGCCGAUGAUUGGAGGCUGCCUUGACGUCACUCUUGCAGUUUCCCUGGAUGUUUCGUCCGAUGCGAAGAUCUUAGGAAAAUAGCUACACGGUUUAAAGAAAACAAAAAGGGUACAAUAAACA